AAUCAUACGAUAAACCUUGUUCAGUUUGGUGUUGUUUGUUUUCGAUAUACAUCACUGGGUGAAGUUUGUCUUAUCCU
This 77-nucleotide microRNA precursor is filed under the name Megaselia scalaris. RNAcentral describes it as "microRNA mir-3". It matches the Rfam family "mir-3 microRNA precursor family". Lineage: Eukaryota; Metazoa; Arthropoda; Insecta; Diptera; Phoridae. The record is from RNAcentral.